AGAGUUUGAUCCUGGCUCAGAACGAACGUUGGCGGCGUGGAUUAGGCAUGCAAGUCGAACGAGAACCAUUGGGUAACUGAUGGGGAAAGUGGCGAAAGGGGCAGUAAUGCAUGGGUAACCUACCCCGGGGAUCGGGAUAGCCAUUCUAACGGAUGGGUAAUACCGAGCGAUGUAGCGAGAUCGCAUGACCUUGCUACGAA
This 200-nucleotide ribosomal RNA is filed under the name uncultured bacterium. RNAcentral's name for it is "partial 16S ribosomal RNA". It matches the Rfam family "Bacterial small subunit ribosomal RNA", at positions 8 to 204 of the family's 1533-position model. The record is from RNAcentral.